This is a long non-coding RNA of Monomorium pharaonis (pharaoh ant), 858 nucleotides long. RefSeq lists it as uncharacterized. The transcript has 2 exons. The record is from RefSeq and is a predicted model, not a curated record. NCBI's taxonomy places the organism in Eukaryota, Metazoa, Arthropoda, Insecta, Hymenoptera, Formicidae.
CUCUCCCUCUUUCUCAUUCGCUCCCUCUUACUCUUUCCUCACGUGACGUCUACCAGCCUUCCCUCCAGACGUAUCGCAUCUCCACGCUGAGAUUUCCAAACUGGCGCGUAGAUAAGCUGGUGUUGCAUCCCUCCUGGGGACUCGUGGCCGGUUGCAGUCGAAUGCACUGUCUGCAUCGUUGAGAAGCUCUGCAAACGAACCACAGCUCGUAAUGGCGCAGGAGUAAUUCUCCGUAUCCAACGCUAUUCCACAUUGCAACUUGCGAGCAAGCCGAAGCACACUCGGUUCACGGGACAUUCAUCAUUCCGACGCCUGUUAGUAGCGCGAAAUGCUCUACCGCUGGUCUAAUCUUGUGCUCAUAAAUAAGAUAACAAUUUUUCAUCCCUUCUUAGCGCCGUUACUUGGGGACGCGCCCACAAGGAAACGGUGGUGAACGAACAAGGGGGAGGACGCAGAGCGCAGUAGGGAGAGAGAGCUGAGGCAGACAGAAAACGGAAAAGUUUGUAACCCUCGUUACUGGGUAUCGAGUUCCAAUUAGAUGACGAUCGCAUUUCCAGUAGCAGAGUCAGAAGACGUUUUUGCGUGUACCUGAGACGAACGGUCGAUUGCCGACUUACCUCAUCCUCCCCUGGGUAAAUCAAACGGACACUAAUUCACGGCGUUUGGGGGAUUUCUCUGACUCUCCAAGAUCAUUAUCCGUGCGAAAACCGCAAUCGUCACAAGCGUUUUAUGCUGAUUAUCACACUGAAUUUUUUUGUCGAUGGUAACUCACAUUAUUUCUAAAUCAUUUCGAAUAUAAAGUCGUAUUUAGAUGUUAUAACGCUGUCAAUUAUGUGUAAAAAAUUUUAGAAAAAAAAA